RNAcentral lists this ribosomal RNA (436 nucleotides) under uncultured delta proteobacterium. RNAcentral's name for it is "bacterial SSU rRNA". It matches the Rfam family "Bacterial small subunit ribosomal RNA", at positions 930 to 1497 of the family's 1533-position model. The record is from RNAcentral. Lineage: Bacteria; Deltaproteobacteria.
CGGUGGAGCAUGUGGUUUAAUUCGACGCAACGCGCAGAACCUUACCUGGGCUGGAAAGUGUUCGGAAGUCUUGUGAAAACAAUUCCCGGCCGAUACAGGUGUGACGAGCGCAACCUCUAUCGUUAGUUGCUACCGAGACGUCAAGUCUCAUGGCCCUUAUGUCCAGGCUACAUACAUGGUGCAUACAAGCGCAGCAAGCUAGCAAUAGUAAGCCUCGCAAAAAGUGCACCUCAGUACAGAUUGCACUGCAACUCGAGUGCAUGAAGUCGGAAUCGCUAGUAAUCGUGAUCGGCAGGCAGCGGUGAAUACGUUCCCGGGCCUUGUACACACCGCCGUCACACCAUGGGAGUUGAUUGCUCCAGAAGUGGCUACGCAAACCCGCAAGGGAAGCAGGUCCCCAAGAGUGGUCGAUGACUGGGGUGAAGUCGUACAAGGU